CCCUUAGAUGUUCUGGGCCGCACGCGCGCUACAAUGAUGAAUUCAACGAGUUUAUAACCUUGGUUGAAAAGCCUGGGUAAUCUUUUGAACUUUCGUCGUGAUGGGGCUAGACCCUUGCAAUUAUUGGUCUCCAACGAGGAAUUCCUAGUAAACGCAAGUCAUCAGCUUGCAUUGAUUACGUCCCUGCCCUUUGUACACACCGCCCGUCGCACCUACCGAUUGAAUGGUCCGGUGAAAUCUUCGGAUUGAGACUUUGAUUUCUUCACGGAAAACGCUGUUUUAAAAAGUUGAUUAAACCUUACCAUUUAGAGGAAGGUGAAGUCAUAACA
This 329-nucleotide ribosomal RNA is filed under the name uncultured eukaryote. RNAcentral describes it as "partial 18S ribosomal RNA". It matches the Rfam family "Eukaryotic small subunit ribosomal RNA", at positions 1470 to 1796 of the family's 1831-position model. The record is from RNAcentral.